This 540-nucleotide ribosomal RNA is filed under the name Sordariomycetes sp. RNAcentral's name for it is "eukaryotic LSU rRNA". The stretch from base 227 to 380 matches the Rfam family "5.8S ribosomal RNA". The record is from RNAcentral. Lineage: Eukaryota; Fungi; Ascomycota; Sordariomycetes.
CAGCGGAGGGAUCAUUAUAGAGUUAUACAACUCCAAACCCGUGUAAACGUACCACAUUGUUGCCUCGGCCGGCUGUGCCUACCCUGUAGCGACUUACCCUGUAGCCACCUACCCUGUAGGAGUUACCCUGUAAGGAUCUACCCUGUAGGCAUGUCCAGGGCCGGCCGAAGGCUCCCGAACCCUAGUUAAUAUACGUGACUUCUGAAAACGCAACUUAAUAAGUUAAAACUUUCAACAACGGAUCUCUUGGUUCUGGCAUCGAUGAAGAACGCAGCGAAAUGCGAUAAGUAAUGUGAAUUGCAGACUUCAGUGAAUCAUCGAAUCUUUGAACGCACAUUGCGCCCAUUAGUAUUCUAGUGGGCAUGCCUGUUCGAGCGUCAUUUCGACCCUUAAGCCCUGUUGCUUAGUGUUGGGAGCCUACCUACCCUGUAGCUCCUCAAAGUUAGUGGCGGAGUCGGGUUACACUCUAAGCGUAGUAAUAUUUUCUCGCUUCUGUAGUUGUCUCAGUUCCUGCCGUAAAACACCUAUAUUUAUCUAGGU